AAAAUGAAAGUUGAAAAAGUUUCCAUUUUUGGAUAUUUAAAAGAAACUGAAAUUUCAAACUAAUUAGUAGUUAUUGCUUUUUUAUAAGUUAAUUAAAAAAAUUUAUAAGGAUAUAAGUAAUAGUGUACCUUUUGCACAAGGGUCCAACAAGUUAAUUUAUAUAGCAAGUCAAAAUGAGACGUAAAGAAAUUAAGUUUGAAAAAUAGCUAAUAGUUAUAUGAAUUAAACCCGAAACCAAAGGAUUUAACCGUGAACAAGCCGAAAAUAAGUUUUAUUGGAGGGCUGAACCAAUAUUUGUUGCAAUAAAUUUGGAUGAUUUACGGUUCGGAGUGAAAAGCUAAUCGACUUUGGUGAUAGCUGGUUUUCUGCGAAAACUAUUUAGGUAGUGUGUUAUUAAUAAAUAAUAAAUUAGGUAAAGUACUUAUUAAUCUAGGGGGAAUUUUUAAUUUCUUUGAAGUUAGUAAAACUAAAAAUGAAUUUUAUAUUAAAUUGUAGCAGACAGACAUAUGUACGCGAAGGCCAUAUGUCAAAA
This 532-nucleotide ribosomal RNA is filed under the name uncultured bacterium. Its description in RNAcentral is "partial 23S ribosomal RNA". It matches the Rfam family "Bacterial large subunit ribosomal RNA", at positions 504 to 1016 of the family's 2925-position model. The record is from RNAcentral.